UACUCCUUAGAAAUGGGACCUGAGUGGGUGACUGAGCAAGUGAAAAAUCUUGUGAGGAACAGAGAAAUCCUUCUUGUAGCUCUCUCCCCAUUAGGAGAAGAUGCUGUAAAAGGUGGUGAAGGUGCAAUUUACCUUUGGGCAAAGCUUCCUGACAAACAUCUUGAUGAUUUUAAAGUUGUUCGCUGGCUUGCUAAAAGGCAUGGGGUGGUUGUGAUUCCGGGAGGUGCUUGUGGAUGCCCAGGGCAUCUUAGGAUCUCCUUCGGGGGCUUGAUAGAGGCGGAUUGCAAAGCUGCUGCGGAGAGGCUGAGGAGAGGGUUAGAAGAAUUAGUGAACCAUGGAAUGAUGGAGUAAACUGUUUUACAGCCCAUUGCAUAUCGGAAUGGGAAAUCCAUUAGCCUGUUUGUUUAAGUUAACAACCCGUGCAUUCGAAUAAUAUGGAGGGUACGAAUGUCUGGAAGUAGAACAAUAGUUUAGUAAAUGAAAGGAUAUUCACCCGGCAGUUGGUCUGAAC
This 511-nucleotide unclassified non-coding RNA is filed under the name Hevea brasiliensis (rubber tree). The record is from RNAcentral. Lineage: Eukaryota; Viridiplantae; Streptophyta; Magnoliopsida; Malpighiales; Euphorbiaceae.